AUCUACUACCCUUUCCAUAGCACUGUUACUGCUCCCACUGGAAGGCUGUUCCAGGUAUCUACUACCCUUUCUAUAUCACUGUUACUGCUCCCACUGGAAGGCUAUUCCAGGUAUCUACUACCGUUUCUAUAUCACUGUUACUGCUCCCACUGGAAGGCUAUUCCAGGUAUCUACUACUCUUUCUAUAUCACUGUUACUGCUCCCACUGGAAGGCUAUUCCAGGUAUCUACUACCCUUUCUAUAUCACUGUUACUGCU
Non-coding RNA from Pelobates cultripes (western spadefoot toad), 257 nucleotides. NCBI's taxonomy places the organism in Eukaryota, Metazoa, Chordata, Amphibia, Anura, Pelobatidae. The record is from the annotation of a GenBank genome assembly.